Chelonia mydas (Green sea turtle) is the source of this 153-nucleotide long non-coding RNA. RefSeq lists it as uncharacterized. The transcript is spliced from 3 exons. NCBI's taxonomy places the organism in Eukaryota, Metazoa, Chordata, Testudines, Cheloniidae. The record is from RefSeq and is a predicted model, not a curated record.
CAGGUUUGAACCAGGGGCCUCUGUAGCUUAGUGCAUGAGCAGCUACCGCUUGUGCUAAAAGCCAACUGGCUGAUAGCUAAGGCUGUAGAGCAGACUCAUUUUAUCUCUCUAAGUGGUCUCAGUACCACUAGAUGGGACAGAACACCACACCCA